UGUGGGAGCGGGCUUGCCCGCGAUAGCGGUAUGUCAGUGACAGAUUUGCUGGCUGACACGCCGCUAUCGCGGGCAAGCCCGCUCCCACA
This 89-nucleotide unclassified non-coding RNA is filed under the name Pseudomonas gessardii. The record is from RNAcentral. Lineage: Bacteria; Pseudomonadati; Pseudomonadota; Gammaproteobacteria; Pseudomonadales; Pseudomonadaceae.